GGAGGAGUUUGGUGCACACAACACGAUGGUGAGAGGCUCUCUAUACACACAUAGUUUUCUGUCUGUGGAACAGUUUGGUUACCUCCGUGCGUUGUGUGUUGACGUCGAUGGUGAUGCAGAACGGAGCGAUCAAGGUGGGAGCAUGGGGAGGGAACGGAGGGUCGGCCUUCGACAUGGGACCUGCUCAUCGGAUCAUCAGCGUCAAGAUUUUUUCCGGAGACGUGGUCGACGCCGUGGACGUCACCUUCACCUCCUACGGGAAGACGGAGACCCGACACUUCGGUGGCAGCGGUGGUACUCCCCACGAGGUUUGCAUCACUACCAAUCUCAAAGCUCAUAGAUGACUGUAGAUUAAUGGCUUCUACUUGGAUGCAGAUUGUUCUGCAGGAGGGCGAGUAUCUGGUGGGAAUGACGGGAGAAUUUGGUAACUACCAUGGAGUGGUGGUGUUGGGGAAGCUUGGCUUCCGCACCAACAAGAAAUCCUACGGACCUUUCGGCAACACGGGAGGGACUCCCUUCUCCCUUCCUAUAGCAGCAGGCAAGAUCUCGGGCUUCUUCGGCCGUGGCGGCGAUUUUCUUGACGCCAUUGGGGUCUACUUGGAGCCAUAAUUGGACACUGCAGUAAAUCACAAGAGUUGCUAUGUGCAACUUCGAGUGAUGAGAUGAACGAUGUCUGCAAUAAAUGGAUCGGUGUUUGCCAUCCCCAGUUGUUGUUGGAUGUCGCUUGGAAUAAUAAUGAUAUGGUGUGUUAUCAUCAGAGCAAUUGCAUCACUGAUUGGUUUGAGACUUCAGCCUUUAGGAUCGCAUAAAUAAAUAAACGAAAGCAAAUUAAUUUGUUGUAGAUAGUAAUUGGAGUAAUAAUUUUGGCGGUAAUGUUUGAUAGUAUUAUAUGAAAUUCUCGAAUAGAUAUUUAUUUUAUUUAAAAUAUUUUUUUAAAUAUCUAUAUGAACAUGCUCUCUAUAUCAAAUUUAAUUUGAUGGAAACAUCUCUAUAUCUAUAUAUAGAUGAUUUAAUUUUUAUAGAUAAUAAUAUUUCCAUGAUCACAUAUCUUAAACACUCUAAGAAGGAGCUUGAGAUUAUCGAUUUGUGCCCAAUUGACUUAUUUCCUUGGGUUCGAAGUUGUAUAAAACAAUAAAAGAAUUUUAAUCUCACAGAAAAAUUAAACAAAGAGAUCUUAAAAAAAAUUUCAAUGGAAAAUUGUCAACUUAUUGAUACACCUGUGAAGUAUAAGACCAAGUUGACUAAGAAAGAUGAAGAGAAAUCAAUUAAUCCAACUAAUGGUAAAAGUCUAGUUAGAUGUUUAAGAUAUUUGAUAUGCACUCAACUCGAUAUAUUAUUUAGAGUUAGUUAAUAAGUAGCUAAAUAGAAGCUCCUAAGACAUCUCAUAUCGCUAAAAAUUUUUACGACAUACUAAAUGAACAAUUAAUUAUGAUCGGGUAGGAAACUACAAUGAUCAUAAGAGUGUAAUCGGAUUUAAUCUUUAUUUUGGUGAAACUACAUUCACAUGCUCUUAAAAAAAAAACUAUUGUUGCACUAUCAAAGUAGAAUAUAUAAUAGUAUUUUCUUAUAUUUAUCAUAUAAUAUGAUUAAAAAUAUUACUUCAAGAACUUCAUGUGUUAUGGGAGAAGUUAAUCAAUAUUUAUAUUGAUAACAAAUCAGCUAUUAUAUUAUUUAUAAACCCAAUCUACUAUAAAAGAUCGAAGCAUACCAACACAAGAUUUUAUUUUAUAAGUGGCCAUUUCGAAAACAAAGAAGUGAAGCUACUUCGACAAUCCAACAAGUGAUUGAUAUACUUAUAAAAUCUCUCAAUAUUUCAAAAACUUUGAUAAAAACUUAUGUUAGAUGAAACAGGUAAGAUACAUUGAAUAAAUCAAAUUGAUUAUUAAUUCUUGUAAGGAGUUUUUUUAAAGAGAGAUUCAUGUUAAAUAUAAUGAAUAUAAUGUAUUUAUGAUGACUAUAUAAAACUCAUGUGUUGGGUUAUAAAAUAUAUAAUUUUUUUAAAAUUAUAAUAAAUUCUUUUUUGAGUAAAUUUACUUUGAGUGAUAGCCCUAUCAUUUCUAUUUAUCUAUUGGCACAAGGGGAGGGAACCGAGGGUCGACGUUUGACAUGAGACCUGCUUAUCGUAUCAUCAGCGUCAAGAUCGGUGCAGGAGGCGUGGUCGACUGCAUGAACGUCACUUUCACCUACUACGGUGGUACUUCCCACGAGGUUUGUAUCACUCUCAAUCUCAAAGCUCAUAGCUGAAUGCAGAUUAAUGGCUUCUACUUGGAUGCAGAUUGUUCUCGAGGAGGACGAGCAUGCGGUGGGAAUGGAGGGAGAGGUUGCUACGUACCAUGGACUGGUGUUCGUAGGAAAGCUUGGUUUCAUCAUCAACAAGAAAGCUUGAUAUUGCCAUUCUUGUAUGUUUCUUGGAAUAAUAAUGAUGUGGUGUGCUUUUAUUAAAGCAAUUGCAUUACUAAUUGGCUCGGUCGGGACUUCAGUCUUUUGCAUGGCAUAAAUAGACCAAAACAAAUUAAGUUGGUGUAGAUAGUGAUUGGGUAUUGGUGUUGAUAGAAAUUGGGCCAUCUAGGAAUAUAAUUCUAAUUCUAUUCAUAUCUGAAAUAUGAUGUUAUCUUUUUAUUAAAUUAUGCUGUCAAUAAUAUAAAUAAUAAAAAAUGGGUAAGUUUGAAAUAUGUCAUUUGCCAAACAAAACAAAAUUAUAUUUGACAGCUGUAAGUAGACCUUAUUUUAAGUUUUUUUAAUAGAAUUUUAUGAUUGAUAUAAUUUAAUAUGAGUCUAAUAUGAAUUGACAAAAUAAAAAAAAAAAAUCUAAUUUUAUCUUUUAAUCUCACAUUUAUUUUAAUAUUCCUCUCAUUUUUAUCUUUGCUUAAUUAUCUACUAUCCCAACUAUGCAUAACUAAAUCGAUUUAUUUUCCUUCACAUGUUUGGUCCUCAACUUCAUUUAUUUUAAACACAAUUAAACUUAUUUAAGUCUUGAGAAUUAUUUAAGGUAUAUUAUAAUAAGAAAGUCUCUUCUGAUUAUUAUAUCUAUACUUAUUGUCAUAAUUUAACCUCAAGUUACUAAUACAUUUACGUUUAUUAUGUUAAAAGACUAUACAUUUUAUUUCUAUAAAAAAAUCUUAAAAAUAGAUAUCAUUGCUUAUAUAUACUUCAACUUAGCAUCUCCAACUUUAUAUGUAAUAUUUGUGAAAGGAUAGAUUUCAAUCUUAAAAGUCAAUAAUAUAUGAGUAUAUUAUAUUAUAAAACAUAAAUAUCUCUUUGGAUAAUCACCAAGUUGUAGUUCUCUGUGUAAAACUUGAGCACUACAAGACAAUAUUCUAGAUGUGCCUUUGGAUAUUGUAUUGGGUUACUUCAGCAUUUGGCUCCGCAAUAGUGUCAUAUGGAUAUUUAUGCAAAUUUCGAAGGUGAUAUAUUACAUUGGAUUUUUUGUUAUGUGAUCAUUUGUAACUUGUAAAAUUCAUUAUUGUAUUAUUCAUUGUCCGUCGAGUAUUUGUUGAGAUAUCAAUUUAUGGAAUCCUGAGUUUAAUACUUUUAUUAAUUUAUUUUUUUAUAAAUUCUUAAAGAAUCCUACAUAUGAUUUAGAUAAAAUCAAAUAAAUCGUAUUCAGACUUGGCAUGUAAGCACCAACAUUGAAGAAAAUAAAUAAAAAUAUUUAAAUAUAUAUUUAUGAAGAAUAAAAUAAAAUUUUGUAUUACUUAAUCAUAUCCUACAGAUCUACGAUCUUCACCAUCAAACCAGAAAAAAAAAAACCGGCAUAUCUCUCUAACGUAGCCGUCGCAUUGGCCAGGCGGAUGUAUAUAAACCGGCAUGUCUCCCAACACGUUUCAAUGUGUCGACCGCCACGCCAUAUCCUUAUCCGUUCCUCUUUAAUUAUUGACCAGACCACCAUCCGUGAUCGUCGCCGGUCACGUCUUCGUCAUCGAGAUGCUCUACACGACCCUCAUCACGUGAUACACGUUUUCCACGAGGAAGCCACGGACGAGGGCGGUACACCUCCACUCCACCCCGACAUCACAGCCAUGGCGAUCCGCUAUAAGUAGCCUCUCUCCCUCUUCCCCAACAUCAUCUUCUGCAGAAGAAAGGGAGGAGUUUGGUGCACACAACACGAUGGUGAGAGGCUCUAUGUAAACACAUAGUUUUCUGUCUGUGGAACAGUUUGGUUACCUCUGUGCGUCGUGUGUUGACGUCGAUGGUGAUGCAGAACGGAGCGAUCAAGGUGGGAGCAUGGGGAGGGAACGGAGGGUCGGCCUUCGACAUGGGACCUGCUUAUCGUAUCAUCAGCGUCAAGAUUUUUUCCGGAGACGUGGUCGACGCCAUGGACGUCACCUUCGCCUACUACGGGAAGACGGAGACCCGACACUUCGGUGGCAGCGGUGGUACUCCCCACGAGGUUUGCAUCACUACCAAUCUCAAAGCUCAUAGCUGACUGCAGAUUAAUGGCUUCUACUUGGAUGCAGAUUGUUCUGCAGGAGGGCGAAUAUCUGGUGGGAAUGGCGGGAGAAUUUGCUAACUACCAUGGAGUGGUGGUGGUGGGGAAGCUUGGCUUCAGCACCAACAAGAAAUCCUACGGACCUUUCGGCAACACGGGAGGGACUCCCUUCUCCCUUCCUAUAGCAGCAGGCAAGAUCUCUGGCUUCUUCGGCCGCGACGGCCAGUUUCUUGACGCCAUUGGGGUCUACUUGGAGCCAUAAUUGGACACUGCAGUAAAUCACAAGAGUUGGUAUGUGCUACUUUGAGUGAUGAGAUGAACAAUGUCUGCAAUAAAUGGAUUGGUGUUUGCCAUCCCCAGCUGUUGUUGGAUGUUGCUUGGAAUAAUAAUGAUAUGGUGUGUUAUUAUCAGAGCAAUUGCAUCACUGAUUGGUUUGAGACUUCAGCCUUUAGGAUCGCAUAAAUAUAUAAACGAAAAUAAAUUAAUUUGAUGUAGAUGGUGAUUGGAGUAAUAAUUUUUAGGGUAGUGUUUUCGGGUUGGUUCGUAGGUUGACUCGACAGUGAUGUUAUAUGAGCACUCAUGGAUAAGGAUUUUUCAGCGUAAUUGACUAGCUUUAAACCGUUUAUCAUGUGAUUAUUCAUAAAAUUAAAAUUUAUAUUUUACAUUAUCUAUCUAAUGUUUAUCGUAAUAUUUAUUUAUGAGAUCUCGAGUUUAAUAUUUUUAUUAAUCUGUUUUCUUUUUUGUAUGUCCCUAGUGGACCUGAUGAGAUUAUGGGAAGACUAACAUUUUUCGAAUGAACACACAAGUGUGUGAUGCAACUUACGUAAAAUCAACUAAAUUGGUGAGUCUCUAAUUAUAUGUAUAACCAUCAACUUAGAAAAAAAAAAUAAAAAGAUCCGAUACAAAUGAGAUAAUAAUAUAUGUAUGAUAGUAAACGGUAAGGGAUCCUUUACUCUAAAAAGAUAACCCUUUACUCUAAAAAGAUAACCCAUUCGAUCAAAGAAUUAUUUAAUCUUUACAUAAAAAAAGAGUUUUGAUCUUUCACUGCAAGUUCUUUGUUACAUCAAAAGUACUAGAAAAUUAGGAUCCCACUAGCAAAUCAGCAUCGUUUCACAAAGUACAGUUUGGGGGCAAAGAUCCAAAUGUCGUACAAGCAGAUGAACAUAAAGAUAUCGGGACUUUGUGUUUUUGGGUCCGACAUGCAAUAACUCAUCAUUGAUUUCACGAGAGCAAGUUAUGGUUCACAUCAAAGGAGGAAAUGGACAUGCUAUCACUUUCAUCUAGAAUGGAGGAAUCACUACAGGAAAUGCCAAGUCAUGAAAAAUAUAGUAGAAAAUAUUUUCUUUGGAGUCAAUUGGAGAUUCAGUAAGACUGAUGCAAGAUUUCGGGUCUGAAUAACACUCGUCGGAGUGUCCCUUCCAAACGAAGAUUUGAAACAUACAAAAUUAGAAGAUUAUUUCUAUUAUAGAAUGGAAAUAUUGUGGAGCUCAGUGGUACAUCAAAUUUGGGCUCAUCAACAUAGUUUAAAUUUGAUCUAUAGUGAUGUAUGUGGUCACAUAUCAACUCAUGUCAUAAGUGGUUACUCCUACUUUAUUACUUUCAUUGAUGAUUUCUCUAGAUACAGAUAUGUAUACUUGAUAAAGUAUACGUCUGAAACCUUCGAGAAAUUUAAGAAGCAUAAGAAUGAAGUAGAGAACUAGAUUAUAAAGAGUAUCAAAACUUUUCGAUCAGAUCGAAGAGGUGAGUACUUGAGUAUAGAGUUCACCUGGUUCCUCAACGACCGUGAGAUUCGAUCUCAAUAGACAUCUCCUUAUAUACCUCAGUUUAAUUGUGUAUAUGAAAGGAGGAAUCACACACUAUUAGACAUGAUAUGGUCCAUAAUGAGUUUCGUUGACCUACUCGUCUCAUUUUAGUAAUAUACUAUAGAGUCUGCAGUUUACCUUAUGAAUAGAGUUCAAACUAAGUCGGUAGUGUCUAUACCAUAUGAGAUAUAGAAAGAAGAAGCUAGAUCUUAAGGUUAUUAAGAUUUGAGGCUACCCUCCCCAUGUUAAAAGAUACAACCCCGACAAGUUGGAAUCUAAGACGGAGAAGUAUAAGUUCGUAGGAUACCCUAAAGAAACUUGUAAGCACUAUUUCAAUUACCCCGAGGACCAAAAGUUCUUUGUAGCUAAGAACGUAGUAUUCUUUUAGAAGAAACACAUUCUUGGUGGAGACAAUGAGAGUAUGAUAGAGUUGAGCGAGGUUGGAGAACCUAGCUCAAGCACCAUUCCAUAACUAGAGUCUAUUCAGUUAUCUAGCACAUAAGUUCCGACUUUACGUAGGCUUGAUUAAAUACCACAUCAUCUUGGGAUAUAUGUGAGAUAUAUCAGAGGAGGGGAUGUUGAGAAUAUUGAUCCUCCGAUAUAUUAGAGAGAUUGUGGCCCGAGGAGAUGCAGUAGUGAAAAAAGUUCAAUCCGAAAAUAAUAUCACAGAUAUACUAACAAAGUCAUUGUCUUAGAUUAUCUUUGAGCAUCAUAGGGGUCUGAUAAGGAUCAGACACGUAGGUAAUUGACUCUAGGUCAAGUGGGAGAUUACUAGUCAUAUAUGUCCCGCAAGUCAAUCAUAUGAGUGAUGACACGUGUAACAUGAUAUAGUCUUUUUGCUUAUUAUUAUUAUUAUUAUUAUUAUUAUUAUUAUUAUAUUUUUUUUACUUUAUAUUGUUUUUUGCAUACAUAUAUUAUGAUAUUCGUGGAUAUAUGCAAUGAGAAUCGAAUCAUGAUGAUAUUACGAUAAUGAGACUGAUUUACUUUUAAACACACAUUAAAUAAUCCCAGUUAUAGGUUACUUGAGAGUGACAUUGAGAUAACCAGAUAGACUAUGUACUAUAUACUCAUACAUAUAAUAGAAGCGAUUAAUCUUAUAGCUAUUCAUGCAGGGGUACUAAGUUACAAUGUAGGUGAUCAUUGGAGAAUGAGUCUACUGAUUACUCCGCUUAUAGAAUGUUGGAUGGUUGAUGAUAUCUCAUUAUCAGACAACGAUUCCGUCAUCUCAGUGAUGUAUCUGAUCCUUAGAUUUAAGACACUAAGGAUGUCCUGUAUGAGUACUGCACUCUUUGAUACCAAACUUAUAGGCCUGAAAGUUUCAGAUCUAGUGCAUCCAAUUAUCGAGAGUGACAGCUAACAUUACGAGGGCUAUUGAGUGUCGAUAGAGGAUCAUCCACUUUCGGUGUUAUGAGAGGAAUAUCUCAUGUGUUCUUGCUCAAGAAAAUCACUAACCAAGGUCAUUCAGAUUAAAAAAGAAAAAGUUCUCCAAAAGAAUUCGAUUAGAGUGAGGCUCAAGUAAAAACCAUAUGAGGCUAAUAGCACCAUACCCAGUAUACGAUCUCUGAAAAAUUAGAUGGAUGAGAGAUUAUAGAUACACGAUAACUAAGGAUAGAUAUGUUCAAAGAAUUGUAUUCCUCUGUAUCGUCUGGGGACUGCAGCGUAGUGGCAUAGUAUAUUUGUAGUCGAUAAGUCGAGUGAAUUAUUAUGGAGAAAAUAAUUCACUGAGCUACAUGGAGUUCUGAUAGGUACGACUCGCGACUAGCUCGAUAUUGAGCCUAGAAGGUUACACACAUAUGGUAAGUGUUGUAAUGAGUGGAGAUUCAGAUUUGAGAUAUCCGCCAAAGCCUAUAUCUUAUUGGAUAUCCAAUAAGCUUCUGAAUUAUUGGAUCCUAUGGAUGAGAUCCAAUAAGAGACAAUGAGAGAUUAUUGGAUAGAGAUCUUAUUGGGAAAUCUAGGGUGACAUCACAUGCGCAGCGGAAGAAUAGAAAAUAAAAUCCUAGAAUUUCUCACAGAAAAUAAGAUUUCAUUAUCGUGUAAAGAUUUAUGCGCAAAAACUCAUGAAACUAAAAACUGCACAUAUAAGAAAGAUGUGUUACCUAGAGAGAUUGUAUAUUUCUAAAAACUUACAGAUCUAUGGAAGAGAAUGAAGGAGGUUAACUAUCCUCCUCUUUGGCGGUGAUCCACAUGACAGGGGUUACGAAGAUGCUCAUCAAAUUGUUGCCCAAAUCUCUUCCUCACGUGCACCACGUAAUCAAAAAGCGGUUGCCCCUUCUUGCUAUACACACGCCCCAAAUAGGGGCUACAGUAUGAGGAGGAGAGAGAGAGGGGAGAAUAGGAGGUGACAGUAAAAAAAAACUCAACCCAUGGCUCUUUGGUUCCCUCCUAUUUAUAUAGGUCCCUUGUUAACUUAACUCAUGUGGAUCUUAUCAUAUUGGGUACUAGAUCUUUAUCAAAUUACUCAAACCUUUUAGAUUAGUGGGUCACUACCAAAUAAUCUCUUAUUGGCUCUAAUUGGAUCUCAUCCAUAGUAUCCAAUAAUUCAGGGGCUUAAUGAAUAUCCAAUAAGAUAGGGACUCCUGUGGACAUCUCAUAUCCUAACCUCUACUCGUCACAACACCUACCAUAUGUGUGAAACCCUUUAGGCCCAAUAUCGAGCUGAUCGGGAGUCAUACAUAUCAUAACUCCUUUUGGCUUAGUGAAUUAUUAUCUCCAUAAUAAUUCACUCGACUCAUCGAAUACGAAUUUAUUAGGCCACUACGCCGUAGCCCUCAGAUGAUAUAGGGGAAUCCAAUCUUUUGGACCUAUCUGUCUUCAGUUAGUAUGUAUUUAUAGUCCAUCGUCCAUAUAAUGCCCCAAAGACCGUAUACCGAUCAUGGUAAUGUUAAGCUCGUACAAUUUCUACUCGAGUCUCACUCUAAUCGAAUUCUCUCGAAGAACUAUUUCUCUCUAAAUCCGAAUGACACUGGCCAAGGAUUUGUUUGAGUAAGAACACAUGAGAUAUUUGUCUUAUGACACUAAGAGUGAAUGAUCCUCUAUUGACACUUAAUAACCCUCGUAAGGUUGGCUACCACUCCCAAGAACCGGUUAUACAAGGUCUGAAACUUAUAGACAUAUAAAUCUGGUAUCAAAGAGUAGAGUACUCAUACAAGACAUCCUUGGUGUCUCAAUUUUAAGGACUAGAUGCACUAUUGGGAUGACGAAAUCACUGUUUAACAAUAAGGCAUCAUCAACCAUCCAGCAUUUUGUGAGCGGAUCAAUCAGUGAACUAAUUCUCUAAUGAGCACUUGUACUGUAUCUUAGUAUCCCCACACGAGCAGCUAUGAGACUAGUUAUCUUCAUCAUAUGAACAGGUAUAUGGUACACUAGUCUGUCCGGUUAUCUCGAUGUCCCUCUCAAGUAACCUAUGAUCGGGAUUAUUAGGGUCUAUAUUUAAAGGUAAAUCGGUCUUAUUAUCAUGAUCUCAUCAUAAUCUAAUUCCUAUUGUACAAAUUCGUGGACGUCACAAUAUACUCAUGCAACAAACAAUAUAAAGUGAUAAAAUAUCAAAUAAUAUAAUAAGUAAAAAGAAUGUGUGUCAUGUCACACAUGUCAUCACUCAUGUGAUUGGCUUGUAGGGCACUUAUAACUAGCAGAUCCACUAAUCUAAGAGGCUUAGAUAAUUGGAUAGAGAUCCAAUAUCCAAUAUGACAAGAUCCGUUAGAGUUGAGUUGACUUAUGGCCUCUAUAAAUAGGAGAGAACUAAAUGACCAUAGGCUAAGCCUUAUUAGUUGCCAUCUUAUAUUAUUCUCUCCCCUUCUCCUCAACCAUUGUGGAGAUUUUGGCAACGAUUACCAUUAGAGAGGAGGAUAGUUGACCUCCUUCAUCAUCUUCCAUAUAUAUGUAGGAAUUCGAGGAUAUACGAUCUCCCUAUGUAACAAAAUCUCAUUUAUACGUAUAGUUUUCGAUUUUACGAGUUUUUACGCGUCAAGCUUCGCAAGAUGACAAACACCUUUUAAGAAAUUUGAGAUUUUUAUUUUUUAUUUCUUCCGUUGCGUAUACGAUGUCGUCCCUAGAUUUCUCUAUAAUAGUAUCGUAUUGACACUUAUGCAUAGGGACUUUGGGAGAUGAUAUGUUAUAUUGGAUUCCUGCAUCAUUUGUAGUUUGUAAAAUUCAUCUUUGUAUUAUGCAUUAUCCGUUACUAAGAUAUUGAAAUCUUGAGUUUAAUGUUUCUAUUAAUUUAUUUUUUUAUAAAUUCUUAAAGGAUCCUACAAGUUAAUCCCUAUUUAUGAAUAUACAAACAUAUGACUUGGAUAAAAUCAAAUAAAAUCAAAAGUCUCUAUUUAUACUUAACAUGUAAGCACCAACAUAGAAGAAAAUAAAUAAUAUAUAUAUAUAUAUAUAUAUAUAUAAAUAUAUAUUUAUGAAGAAUAAAAUAAAAUUUUGUAUUACUUAUUCAUAUCCUACAGAUCUACGAUCUGCACCAUCAAACCAAAAAAAAAAGGGGCAUAUCUCUCCAGCGUAGCCGCGUAUUGACCAACUGGAUGUAUAUAAAUAUAUAUGCAUAUGAUAGAGUGUGUCUGUGUAUAUAUACCCCAUAUAAACUCUCAUGUCUCCCAACACGUUUCCAUGUGUCGACCGCCACGCCAUAUCCUUAUCCGCUCCUCUUUAAUUAUUGACCACACCUCCAUCCGUGAUCGUCGCCGGUCACGUCUUCGUCGUCGAGAGGCUCUACACGACCCUCAUCACGUGAUACACGCUUUCCUCGAGGAAGCCACGGACGACGGGGUGGGCGGUUCACCUCCACUCCACCCCGACAUCAGAGCCAUGGCAAUCCGCUAUAAGUAGCCUCUCUCCCUCUUCCCCAACAUCAUCUUCUGCAGAAGAAAGGGAGGAGUUUGGUUUACACAACACGAUGGUGAGAGGCUCUCUAUACACACAUAGUUUUCUGUCUGUGGAAUAGUUUGGUUACCUCCGUGCGUUGUGUGUUGACGUCGAUGGUGAUGCAGAACGGAGCGAUCAAGGUGGGAGCAUGGGGAGGGAACGGAGGGUCGGCCUUCGACAUGGGACCUGCUUAUCGUAUCAUCAGCGUCAAGGUUUUUUCCGGAGACGUGGUCGACGGCGUGGACGUCACCUUCACCUCCUACGGGAAGACGGAGACCCGACACUUCGGUGGCAGCGGUGGUACUCCCCACGAGGUUUGCAUCACUACCAAUCUCAAAGCUCAUAGCUGACUGCAGAUUAAUGGCUUCUACUUGGAUGCAGAUUG
Molecule: long non-coding RNA, 11476 nt
Filed under: Musa acuminata (dwarf banana)
Lineage: Eukaryota; Viridiplantae; Streptophyta; Magnoliopsida; Zingiberales; Musaceae
Description: long non-coding RNA (MACU_LNC005083)
Source: RNAcentral